AUAAUAUUUUGUAAAAAUAACUAUUAUUUUUUUAUGGAUUUUUCAUUAGAAAUGAUUGCUGUAAAUUAUGAAAGUAAAAAAAGUAUAUUUGAAUGCGUUUUUUACUUUAAUUUGAACAAAAUGACUGCCGAAAAUUACGACACAUCGGCGUCGCUGAAAGCGGGAAUUUCAGUUAAUUUUUUACGGAUAUAAAAUUGUAUUUUUUUACUCCGAAGCAUGUAUUUAAAUAACAGUUAAGUUAAAUCUAUUUAAUUCUGUAAAAUAUAAUUAUUAUUUUGCCGUAGAUACUUUUUUUUAUAUUUUUAAUGAUUUUCUGUCGCGGAAAAUCGGUAUUCGCACCAUGCACGCACACGUAGUAAAACUAGACUUAUCUUUAAAACACGAGAAUCAUGAGUACACUGCGAAUAACAAAGUUUUUAAAUUUUAGUUUACUUUUGACUUUAAGCCAUUUGUUUUAAAUCGAAAUUAAUUGAUAAUGUAAUUAUUUCAAAGUAAAAAUUUUCCGUCGCAAAUUGGCUUCUAACCUUCGCCACUGAACCAGCCUACGCACGACAUUCGCGCGAGUCUGUUUCUUCGCAAUAGUCUGUAUGUAUAGUGUCGAGGGCUAAUUCUAAAAAGAAUCGAGUCCUUACUAAUCUAAUGUUUAUUAAAAUUAGGUACAAUUGUUGGAACGCAUGAGAAAUAACAAAUUAAUAUUUCUUUAAAUCUAUAGCCAAAAGAAAGUAGAACUUUAUAACUCUGUAAAUUAUGAAUCGAGUGACGGCUGUCGUGAAAACGGGAGCCAUUUUACUCUUUUUUUUAGGGUGACCUACUUUUAUUAUAUAAUUUUAAAAUUCAUCGAUUUGAUAAGCAGCUGAGUAGCUGACUACGCAUGCGAUAUGGCUGGCACGUUUUGGGAUAGGGAUCGAGUACACCAUAGAAUUUUUUUUCUUAGAACUAAGCGUAUUUUUUUUUAAAAUCAAAAGAUACUUACAUAUCAGUUGUUGAUUUCAAUUUCAUUAUAGAUCUAAUCACUAACUUCAGUUUUUAAAAGUGAUUUUGCUUCUAGAACUAGCGUAUUUUCAAAAUUACGUAGAUUCUAAAUCUAGAUCUAUUCACUUACUAUUUGACAACCGUGUCAGUAAAAUGAGGUCACCGCUUCCAGAUUCUUAGAGUGUUUCUAAAAGCCAGAAUUUUAAAGGGGAGGGCGGUCGUUUUUUUUCUCAAGAAUAAUUAUAGAAAUAAGCUAUAAACUGGUAUAUUUUGUAAAGUUUGACAUAAUUACAAAUAAAUGUAUGCCUAAGUGAC
Molecule: long non-coding RNA, 1287 nt
Organism: Physella acuta
Lineage: Eukaryota; Metazoa; Mollusca; Gastropoda; Physidae
Source: RefSeq, a predicted model, not a curated record